GGGCGAGCGUUAUCCGGAUUUAUUGGGCGUAAAGCGUGUGUAGGCGGUUUGUUAAGUCUGAGAUAAAAGCCCGAGGCUCAACCUUGGUUCGUUUCAGAAACUGGCAGACUUGAGUGUGGUAGAGGCAAGUGGAAUUUCUAGUGUAGCGGUUAAAUGCGUAGAUAUUAGAAGGAACACCAGUGGCGAAGGCGGCUUGCUGGGCCAUUACUGACGCUGAGACACGAAAGCGUGGGGAGCAAAUA
Molecule: ribosomal RNA, 242 nt
Filed under: uncultured bacterium
Lineage: Bacteria
Description: partial 16S ribosomal RNA
Rfam family: Bacterial small subunit ribosomal RNA
Source: RNAcentral